Colias croceus (clouded yellow) is the source of this 695-nucleotide long non-coding RNA. RefSeq lists it as uncharacterized. The record is from RefSeq and is a predicted model, not a curated record. The transcript has 2 exons. Lineage: Eukaryota; Metazoa; Arthropoda; Insecta; Lepidoptera; Pieridae.
UCAGUGGCGUGCCUAGGGUGUAAGGACUGGGCAAGCCCAAAUUUUUCGAAGUGUUUGCUGGGUACCUAUGUUCGUUAUAAAACUUAUAAAAAAUGUGAACAUACCGAAUCAAAUCUUCUAAAUCUUCACGCGCGCCCGCAAACAGUUGAGUCAAACGUUUACCAUUACAAUCAUAUUAAAAUCUAUAUCUAUAAAUUAUAUAAAACUGUAUGACAUUAUAUUAUAAAAUUGUACAGAUCAUUUAUAUUCUAAUUCAAAACGCCGAUCUUUCUGAAGGAAAUAUUUUAUAACAUCAGAAUAGAAGUAGGUACCUACUUAGGUGAUUGUUUUAAUUCAAUUAACAGCUCUUUCUCAAUGACAGUCAUUGUUAAUUCAGAAAGGCGUUCUUGGCCUUGUGUAUUUCUUAAAUACGUACCUACCUACCUAUGAAUUCGAUUUAACGCUGAGAAAGCACGCUCCGUGGAAGAACAACUAGCAAGAAUCGUAAAUACCAAAAUAUGUGCAAGUUUCAUCAGAAGGCUUCUUCUAACCAAUUCUCAUUCAUGAAAUCGAUUAAUUCGUAAACAAUACAAUUAAAAUUUGGUUUAUGUUACUUACUGCACAAAUCGGGAGUUGGUUUUGAUGAAGAAAUUAAUCGUUGUUUUACAGUAAAGUUUAAUGAUUUUACCUUCCCCGCUGAGCACAAAGCAAACCAU